CGAACGCUGGCGGCGCGCCUAACACAUGCAAGUCGAGGGAGAACCUGGCUUCGGCCAGGGAGACCGGCGAACGGGUGAGUAACACGUGAGGAACCUACCCUGUAGACCGGAAUAACCACGGGAAACUGUGGCUAAUGCCGGAUAUGCUCGAACGGCCGCAUGGCCGAUCGAGGAAAUGGUCAGCCGCUACAGGAUGGCCUCGCGGCCUAUCAGCUUGUUGGUGGGGUAACGGCCUACCAAGGCGACGACGGGUAGCUGGCGUGAGAGCGCGACCAGCCACACUGGGACUGAGACACGGCCCAGACUCCUACGGGAGGCAGCAGUGGGGAAUCUUGCGCAAUGGGCGAAAGCCUGACGCAGCGACGCCGCGUGCGGGAAGAAGGCCUUCGGGUUGUAAACCGCUUUCAGCAGGGAAGAAGCGAAAGUGACGGUACCUGCAGAAGAAGGACCGGCCAACUACGUGCCAGCAGCCGCGGUAAUACGUAGGGUCCGAGCGUUGUCCGGAAUUAUUGGGCGUAAAGAGCUCGUAGGCGGUCCCUUUAGUCAGAUGUGAAAUCUCAGGGCUCAACCCUGAAAUUGCAUCUGAUACUGGGGGACUUGAGGCAGGUAGGGGAAGGUGGAAUUCCUUGGUGUAGCGGUGAAAUGCGCAGGAUAUCAGGAGGAAACACCAAUGGGCGAAGGCAGCCUUCUGGGGCCUGUACUGAACGCUGAGGAGCGA
RNAcentral lists this ribosomal RNA (718 nucleotides) under uncultured bacterium. Its description in RNAcentral is "bacterial SSU rRNA". It matches the Rfam family "Bacterial small subunit ribosomal RNA", at positions 30 to 756 of the family's 1533-position model. The record is from RNAcentral.